UCAAGCAAUCUACUGGAGUAUAAACUUAAGAUACCUGCACUUCACCUGAGUAUUUCCUCUCUAUCUCUGUUUUCAAAUAUGAUCACCGGACAGUUUCUGGAGUUUGCUGUUCACAUACGAAGAACGCAGCAUGAGAUUGUCCAGGACACGCGUGGUCCCCGACAGGAACCUUUCCAGAACAUUGAGGUCCAUUGUUUGAGAGGCCCCGCCCAGAAUUUCCUGGUUUUUAUGGUGUUGGUGAUGUCAUCGCUGACAUCAUGGGUUGAACCAACUGACUGUUCUACUGACGCUGCCCCACAGAGCAGCAGGAAUCCGCCGUAGCCCGAAGGAGAUGACAUCAUACGGGAGAAACGCCGGCUUACACAGUACAACAGAUGUAGAUAACGUCCCAGACACACCUCACUUCCUGAGCGGAGAGUUAUGGCUUCCUGGGAGAGGCACUGCCGUCCCCUGCAGCCCCGAGGAGUUCGACAGCUACCUAUGGAGAGGGCACAUCUCUGACUCGUAGACCUGCUCGGAGGCUUCUCCCCUCACUUUGAGAUCCUCCGUGUACCUGUCAAAGGGUC
This is a long non-coding RNA of Scophthalmus maximus (turbot), 566 nucleotides long. RefSeq lists it as uncharacterized. Lineage: Eukaryota; Metazoa; Chordata; Actinopteri; Pleuronectiformes; Scophthalmidae. The record is from RefSeq and is a predicted model, not a curated record. The transcript is spliced from 4 exons.